AGCGGACACCCUUGCCCUCCAGAAUGCACGAAUCUACUUGACCCUUGGGCGUAUGACAGUUUUCCGGCCAGUGUAAAAAAACGAUCAUCAGGAAUUGAUGGUUUCACGUUCGAUGAUUAUUUAUUUUUGAGAUGGCUUGGUCGCGAUAUGAAGCGUCACAGGUUACAGUAGAUGGACACAAAGAUAGAGAGAUAACACCACAAACAUUUUUGUCACUUCAAUAUUUUACUUAAAGGCAAGCUCUGGGUCAUGGGUUCAUAACGAUGACUUGCUUAUUAGAUGUUAAAAAAUGUAAAACUAUUAUAUAUACAAUCAGUCAAAAAAAGAAAAAGACAUUGUUAUGGAAACAAAGUGAGUAAUGGAGACUGACCUGCUUUUUUAUACAUUUUAUUUAAUUCAGUGAAUCAUUCCACCAUUAUUUAUCGUUAUAUUUAGAACAAUUGAAAUAAAAAAAACUAAACCAAAGAUUUUAAGCAAUGUUUUAUUGUCAAUGAUUUGAAUAUAUUUAAUACAUUCGUAGUAUUUACCUUUAAAAUUACGUAUUUAAACCCUUGUAUUUUUACAUGUAAGCUGUUGUAUUUUUCUUAUAUUUUGAAACCAGAUCGGGUCCUCAGUCUUCAACAAUUAUUGAAAAUAAACAAUAGAAA
This is a long non-coding RNA of Ruditapes philippinarum (Manila clam), 647 nucleotides long. RefSeq lists it as uncharacterized. Lineage: Eukaryota; Metazoa; Mollusca; Bivalvia; Venerida; Veneridae. The transcript is spliced from 3 exons. The record is from RefSeq and is a predicted model, not a curated record.